UACGAAGGGGGCUAGCGUUGCUCGGAAUCACUGGGCGUAAAGCGCACGUAGGCGGCUUUCUAAGUCAGGGGUGAAAUCCUGGAGCUCAACUCCAGAACUGCCUUUGAUACUGGAGAGCUUGAGUCCGGGAGAGGUGAGUGGAACUCCGAGUGUAGAGGUGAAAUUCGUAGAUAUUCGGAAGAACACCAGUGGCGAAGGCGGCUCACUGGCUCGUAUCUGACGCUCAGGCGCGACAGCGUGGGGAUCAAACAGG
Molecule: ribosomal RNA, 253 nt
Filed under: uncultured bacterium
Lineage: Bacteria
Description: partial 16S ribosomal RNA
Rfam family: Bacterial small subunit ribosomal RNA
Source: RNAcentral